AGCAGUGGGGAAUUUUGGACAAUGGGCGAAAGCCUGAUCCAGCAAUGCCGCGUGAGUGAAGAAGGCCUUCGGGUUGUAAAGCUCUUUUGUCAGGGAAGAAACGGUGAGAGCUAAUAUCUCUUGCUAAUGACGGUACCUGAAGAAUAAGCACCGGCUAACUACGUGCCAGCAGCCGCGGUAAUACGUAGGGUGCAAGCGUUAAUCGGAAUUACUGGGCGUAAGGCGUGCGCAGGCGGUUUUGUAAGUCUGAUGUGAAAUCCCCGGGCUCAACCUGGGAAUUGCAUUGGAGACUGCAAGGCUAGAAUCUGGCAGAGGGGGGUAGAAUUCCACGUGUAGCAGUGAAAUGCGUAGAUAUGUGGAGGAACACCGAUGGCGAAGGCAGCCCCCUGGGUCAAGAUUGACGCUCAUG
This 409-nucleotide ribosomal RNA is filed under the name uncultured bacterium. Its description in RNAcentral is "bacterial SSU rRNA". It matches the Rfam family "Bacterial small subunit ribosomal RNA", at positions 350 to 751 of the family's 1533-position model. The record is from RNAcentral.